UGAAACAGUGAUAUGGAAUGUUGAGGAUGUUCUGCAGGAGAUUGAUAGAGACUCUUAACAACUUUGACUUCUCAGUUUUCCUUUAACUUAAUAUUUCGCUUUAUAUUCAGCAAGAAAAAAUCAACGGAAAUAUUAGGACUUGAGAAAGGAUUGCGAAGAGCUUACAAGGGUUCCUUCCACAUGUAAAGUAGUAUGAAUUAAAGAUUGCGCAAAAGAAGAAAAAUGAAGCUCCAAGUAAAUGAGGGACUGAGUAAGAGCCAGCCUAAGUUCCUUGGAUUGAGUUCUUCAACGUAGAGUUCUUCAUGCACGG
Molecule: long non-coding RNA, 310 nt
Organism: Neofelis nebulosa (Clouded leopard)
Lineage: Eukaryota; Metazoa; Chordata; Mammalia; Carnivora; Felidae
Exons: 3
Source: RefSeq, a predicted model, not a curated record